AUUGAACGCUGGCGGCAGGCCUAACACAUGCAAGUCGAGCGAGCGGCGGACGGGUGAGUAAUGUAUGGGGACUGCCCGAUAGAGGGGGCUAACUACUGGAAACGGUAGCUAAUACCGCAUACUAUCGGAUAACCCAUAUGGGAUUAGCUAGUAGGUGAGGUAAUGGCUCACUGAGGCGACGAUCCCUAGCUGGUCGGAGAGGAUGAUCAGCCAAAAUGGUACUGAGACACGGCCCAGAUUCCUACGGGGGCAUCAGGGGGGAAUAUUGCACAAUGGGCGCAAGCCUGAUACAGCCAUGCCGCGGGUAUGAAGAGGGCCUUAGGGUGGAAAAGUACUUUCAGUCGGGAGGCGUUACCGACAGAAGAAGCACCGGCUAACUCCGUGCCAGCAGCCGCGGUAAUAC
Molecule: ribosomal RNA, 403 nt
Filed under: uncultured bacterium
Lineage: Bacteria
Description: partial 16S ribosomal RNA
Rfam family: Bacterial small subunit ribosomal RNA
Source: RNAcentral